This 198-nucleotide unclassified non-coding RNA is filed under the name plant metagenome. RNAcentral describes it as "partial contains small subunit ribosomal RNA and internal transcribed spacer 1". The stretch from base 1 to 46 matches the Rfam family "Eukaryotic small subunit ribosomal RNA", at positions 1786 to 1831 of the family's 1831-position model. The record is from RNAcentral.
AAGUCGUAACAAGGUUUCCGUAGGUGAACCUGCGGAAGGAUCAUUAAAAAUUGCAAGCCGGCGAGAGCCGCGCACCGCAAACCAUGUGAAAACACCCGUUGCUUCGGCGGCACGCCCAGCGGCCGUCAGCCCGCCAGAAGCCCAACGAAACCAUUUCAGUAAACUUCAGGUCAGGCACGAUAAAGCAAAUCGUUAAAA